AUACUUACCGGGCGUAGAGGUUAUCCGUGAUCAUGAAGGCGGUUCCUCCGGAGCGAGACCUUGUCAUUGCACUACGAUGGGGUUCACCCUGCUGUUAUUCCUAAUGUGAAUAGUUCAUACGUGUAAUUUGUGGUAGCUGGGAAUAACGUACGUGCCGUCCCGAC
This is a small nuclear RNA of Bactrocera tryoni, 164 nucleotides long. RefSeq annotates it as U1 spliceosomal RNA. NCBI's taxonomy places the organism in Eukaryota, Metazoa, Arthropoda, Insecta, Diptera, Tephritidae. The transcript has a single exon. The record is from RefSeq and is a predicted model, not a curated record.